This 72-nucleotide transfer RNA is filed under the name Ictidomys tridecemlineatus (thirteen-lined ground squirrel). RNAcentral describes it as "Spermophilus tridecemlineatus (thirteen-lined ground squirrel) tRNA". It matches the Rfam family "tRNA". From Rfam's summary of the family: Transfer RNA (tRNA) molecules are approximately 80 nucleotides in length. Their secondary structure includes four short double-helical elements and three loops (D, anti-codon, and T loops). Further hydrogen bonds mediate the characteristic L-shaped molecular structure. tRNAs have two regions of fundamental functional importance: the anti-codon, which is responsible for specific mRNA codon recognition, and the 3' end, to which the tRNAs corresponding amino acid is attached (by aminoacyl-tRNA synthetases). tRNAs cope with the degeneracy of the genetic code in two manners: having more than one tRNA (with a specific anti-codon) for a particular amino acid; and 'wobble' base-pairing, i.e. permitting non-standard base-pairing at the 3rd anti-codon position. The record is from Rfam by way of RNAcentral. Lineage: Eukaryota; Metazoa; Chordata; Mammalia; Rodentia; Sciuridae. RNAcentral also lists the same sequence under 1 other name.
GGGGAUGUAGUUUACUGGUAGAGAACUUGUCUAGCAUGCUUGAAGCUCUGGGUUCAAUCCCUAGCACCCCCG